Molecule: ribosomal RNA, 421 nt
Filed under: uncultured archaeon
Lineage: Archaea
Description: bacterial SSU rRNA
Rfam family: Archaeal small subunit ribosomal RNA
Source: RNAcentral
CUGCUAAGGAGUCUGUUUGNNUCAGUUGUAGAAUCACUGGUGAAUAAGGGGUGGGCAAGUUCUGGUGUCAGCCGCCGCGGUAAAACCAGCACCUCGAGUGGUCAGGAGGUUUAUUGGGCCUAAAGCAUCCGUUAAGCCGGUUGCAUAAGUUUUCGGUUAAAUCUAUGCGCUUAACGUAUAGGCCGCCGAAAAUACUGUGCAGCUAGNGGAGUGGGAGAGGUACACCGGUAACCUCCGGAAANUUUAAGGGAAAGGGGGUAAAAUCCUUUGAUCUAUUGAAGACCACCUGUGGGCGAAGCGGUGUACCAGACACGUUCGACGUGAGGGUGAAGUGGAGCACCGAUUAGAACGUAGUCACUGUACGACAGACUGGAUGCUGUUGCAUGCACCCGGACGUAUUCCGCUGGGGAGACGCAAUAUG